RNAcentral lists this transfer RNA (75 nucleotides) under Chloroflexi bacterium RIFOXYC12_FULL_59_14. RNAcentral describes it as "tRNA-Asn". It matches the Rfam family "tRNA". From Rfam's summary of the family: Transfer RNA (tRNA) molecules are approximately 80 nucleotides in length. Their secondary structure includes four short double-helical elements and three loops (D, anti-codon, and T loops). RNAcentral also lists the same sequence under 1 other name. The record is from RNAcentral. Lineage: Bacteria; Bacillati; Chloroflexota.
UCCUCGCUAGCUCAACGGCAGAGCGAGCGGCUGUUAACCGCUAGGUUCGAGGUUCAAAUCCUCGGCGAGGAGCCU